This 245-nucleotide ribosomal RNA is filed under the name uncultured bacterium. RNAcentral's name for it is "partial 16S ribosomal RNA". It matches the Rfam family "Bacterial small subunit ribosomal RNA", at positions 524 to 767 of the family's 1533-position model. The record is from RNAcentral.
UACGGAGGAUGCAAGCGUUAUCCGGAAUUAUUGGGCGUAAAGCGUCCGUAGGUGGCUAUUCAAGUCUGCCGUUAAAACCAGUGGCUUAACUACUGAGGGGCGGUGGAAACUGAAGAGCUAGAGUGUGGUAGGGGUAGAGGGAAUUCCCAGUGUAGCGGUGAAAUGCGUAGAGAUUGGGAAGAACACCGGUGGCGAAAGCGCUCUGCUGGACCACAACUGACACUCACAGGACGAAAGCUAGGGGA